This 63-nucleotide transfer RNA is filed under the name Haemodracon trachyrhinus. RNAcentral's name for it is "tRNA-Cys". Lineage: Eukaryota; Metazoa; Chordata; Lepidosauria; Squamata; Phyllodactylidae. The record is from RNAcentral.
AGCCCCGUGGUGAUUCACACCAAAGUGCAAAUUUGGAGACGCACCCUUUAAGUGCCGGGGCUU